Penaeus monodon (black tiger shrimp) is the source of this 244-nucleotide long non-coding RNA. RefSeq lists it as uncharacterized. The transcript is spliced from 2 exons. Lineage: Eukaryota; Metazoa; Arthropoda; Malacostraca; Decapoda; Penaeidae. The record is from RefSeq and is a predicted model, not a curated record.
UCACUUAGCUCCAAGCUCCGUGCCCAUACACACCAUAUUCUCCACUUUUCUUUUAUGAAAGUGAAUCGAAUCUUGAGCAUUCGAGUACCUUCUCAAGACGGCUGACAAAUGCUAAGCUCAGAUACCUCUCAAGCAAACAAGUUUUAUCGGAAGACACAGCCUGGACCAAUCCAAUGUUCUGUUUUUUUUGAGGAUGCAAUUACUGUUUACUUUCUACAAAUUGUAAAUAUAUUGGUGAAAUGUG